Molecule: ribosomal RNA, 775 nt
Filed under: uncultured soil archaeon
Lineage: Archaea
Description: bacterial SSU rRNA
Rfam family: Archaeal small subunit ribosomal RNA
Source: RNAcentral
UCGCUGCACUGUUCUGUAAUACGCAGUCAACUGCCCUCAAGUGGGGAAUAAUCUUGGGAAACUGAGGCUAAUGCCCCAUAGUUCUAGAUCGUUGGAAUACUUCUAGGACAAAAGCUACGGCGCUUGAGGAUGGGACUGUGAGCUAUCAGGCUGUUGUGGGGGUAACGGCUCCACAAACCGAUAACAGCUACGAGCUAUGGAAGUAGGAGCUCGGAGAUGGAUUCUGAGACAUGAAUCCAGGUACUACGGUACGCAGCAGGCGAGAAAACUUUGCAAUCGGUUACCGCCGGACAAGGGAACCUUGAGUGCACUUGUUUUAAGUGCUUUUGCUUUCUGAAAACGGGAAGGCGAAUAAGGGCUGGGUAACACGGGUGCCAGCCACCGCGGUAAUACCCGGAGCCCAAGUGAUAGCCACUGUUAUUGGGUCUAAAGCGUCCGUAGCCGGCUUAGUUAGUCCUUGGUGAAAUCUGGCAGCAAACUGUCAGGAUGCUGAGGAUACUGCUAGGCUCGAGACCGGGAGAGGGUAGAGGUACUCUUGGGGUAGGGGUGAAAUCCUAUAAUCCCAAGGGGACGACCUGUGGCGAAGGCGUCUAUCUGGAACGGGUCUGACGGUGAGGGACGAAAGCUAGGGGAGCGAUCGGGAUUAGAUACCCCGGUAGUCCUAGCUGUAAACGAUGCCCGCUUGGUGUAGCAGACCUCUCGGGGUUUGCUGUGCCGGAGCGUAGGUGUUAAGCGGGCCACCUGGGGAGUACGACCGCAAGGUUGACUUAAGGCA